GUCUCCUGAGGAAUGGCAAGCUUUAUAUGAAGAUUUAGGUUUCUUGGUGGAGAAUCCUAUGAGAAAAGGAAAAGGGACUAGUCAUCAAGCGUAGAGGAGCGGGGGGAUUUGUUGCUGUUUUUAAGCAGCGGACUCCCUGAGGCUGCAGACAGCUGUUGACAGCUGGAAGGGAAAGAUGGAGAGGAGGCCGCAACCAGGAGGCAGAGCGGAUAUUUUCCUAGAAGAAAUUUCUGGAUAUGUUCCAAAGCUUCUUGUUGAGACUUGCAUUUUAUAACUAUCAGACUGGCAACUAUGUGAAAGAUGGACUAGUGAGGGAAGAGACUUGCUAUGUCAAUGGGAAGACCCAUUAGGAGGCUAUUGCAAUGAUACAGCUUGCCAACUGUAACCAUUCACUGUUGUCUGGGUCAUCAUGUCCAGCUCUUCCAGGAUAAUUCCUCCAACACAGUUUUUUGACAGCGAGCGUAUGACCUUGGCUACAAUAAAGAUAAAAAAGUCAUGACACAAAAAUGUAUCCUUGAAAACUAUAACAGUAAAAUAAAUUUGGAUUUCACCUCAAUAUGCACCAUUCAAUUUAUGAUAAAAAAAAUUAUGACCUUUUAAUCCAAAUAUCCUACUACUAAACCUACACUCCAAAGAGGUAAAAAGAAAAAGGCCCCAAGUAAUAAGAGAAGCCAUGAAAAAACGAAUUCUCAUACUUAAACAAGGUAGGAGACCUUGUGUGAUAAGCAAAAAUAUCCCCAAAUUUUCCCCCAUUCUCCUUCUCUCCUAGGCUCUGGUAUCUAGGAUAAAUCCUACUUCUAUCUAUCAAUAGUCUGAAUGAUGGGAGAAAAGAGUACAUUUUGGGAAUGGAAUAUAUCAUGUUUUUGAAAAAAGAAGAAAAAUUUCGCCAUUUCUCUGCACCUGGGUCUCUACAUGUGUCUUUCCAAGUAAAAGCUGGAUAUAGUUUAUUACAAAAAACACACUAACUUUUGUUCAACUCUAAAAGGAAACAAAUAUUAUUUGUGGGGAGUGGGACAUGAAAAUACCUCUGAUUUGUUUCUAUGCAUUUGGUCCAAUCUGAUGAUAAUGGUUUCUGGAGAGUCUUCUCCCAUGUAUACAAAUCGAUCCUUCCACACUCUAAUCCUAAUGCAACAAUAUAUCUUUAAAGAAAAAAAAAAAAAA
Long non-coding RNA from Sarcophilus harrisii (Tasmanian devil), 1161 nucleotides. RefSeq lists it as uncharacterized. The record is from RefSeq and is a predicted model, not a curated record. NCBI's taxonomy places the organism in Eukaryota, Metazoa, Chordata, Mammalia, Dasyuromorphia, Dasyuridae. The transcript has 4 exons.